This 210-nucleotide long non-coding RNA is filed under the name Gossypium barbadense (sea-island cotton). Its description in RNAcentral is "long non-coding RNA (GBAR_LNC019156)". Lineage: Eukaryota; Viridiplantae; Streptophyta; Magnoliopsida; Malvales; Malvaceae. The record is from RNAcentral.
UUUCAAGUUAUUGCAUCGAUAACUAUUCUUACAAUUUAUCUCGUUUAUAUGUAGUUAUUGCAACGACAUUAAUAGACAAAAGACUACCAUCCAUAUGGAAUCAAUAUCCGACAGACUCUCAUUUGUUUACUAUACUUGCAUUGAUAGUGUACGCUUGCACAUUAUUGCUGUGACGUUAAACAGCUGAUCACUUUUCUAUUUCUACAUUCC